AACGAACGCUGGCGGCAUGCCUAACACAUGCAAGUCGAACGAGACCUUCGGGUCUAGUGGCGCACGGGUGCGUAACGCGUGGGAACCUGCCUUUAGGUUCGGGAUAACUCAGAGAAAUUUGAGCUAAUACCGGAUAAUGUCUUCGGACCAAAGAUUUAUCGCCUUUAGAUGGGCCCGCGUUGGAUUAGCUAGUUGGUGGGGUAAAGGCCUACCAAGGCGACGAUCCAUAGCUGGUCUGAGAGGAUGAUCAGCCACACUGGGACUGAGACACGGCCCAGACUCCUACGGGAGGCAGUAGUGGGGAAUAUUGGACAAUGGCGAAAGCCUGAUCCAGCAAUGCCGCGUGAGUGAUGAAGGCCUUAGGGUUGUAAAGGACUCUUUUACCCGUAGAUGAUAAUGACAGUAAUCGGGAGGAAUAAGACUCCGGCUAACUCCGUGCCAGCAGCCGCGGU
This 452-nucleotide ribosomal RNA is filed under the name uncultured bacterium. RNAcentral's name for it is "bacterial SSU rRNA". It matches the Rfam family "Bacterial small subunit ribosomal RNA", at positions 29 to 521 of the family's 1533-position model. The record is from RNAcentral.